Molecule: unclassified non-coding RNA, 345 nt
Filed under: soil metagenome
Description: partial contains 5.8S ribosomal RNA, internal transcribed spacer 2, and large subunit ribosomal RNA
Rfam family: 5.8S ribosomal RNA (bases 1-119)
Source: RNAcentral
GAUGAAGAACGUAGCGAAAUGCGAUACGUAAUGUGAAUUGCAAAUUCAGUGAAUCAUCGAGUCUUUGAACGCAAAUUGCGCCCCCUGGUAUUCCGGGGGGCAUGCCUGUCCGAGCGUCAUUGCUGCCCUCAAGCACGGCUUGUGUGUUGGGCCCCGUCCUCCGAUCCCGGGGGACGGGCCCGAAAGGCAGCGGCGGCACCGCGUCCGGUCCUCGAGCGUAUGGGGCUUUGUCACCCGCUCUGUAGGCCCGGCCGGCGCUUGCCGAUCAACCCAAAUUUUUAUCCAGGUUGACCUCGGAUCAGGUAGGGAUACCCGCUGAACUUAAGCAUAUCAAUAAGCGGAGGA